This 803-nucleotide ribosomal RNA is filed under the name uncultured bacterium. RNAcentral's name for it is "bacterial SSU rRNA". It matches the Rfam family "Bacterial small subunit ribosomal RNA", at positions 8 to 825 of the family's 1533-position model. The record is from RNAcentral.
AGAGUUUGAUCAUGGCUCAGGACGAACGCUGGCGGCGUGCUUAACACAUGCAAGUCGAGCGAGGACACUUAGCAAUAGGUGUUCUAGCGGCGGACGGGUGAGUAACGCGUGAGCAAUCUGUCCCAGACAGGGGAAUAACAGAUGGAAACAUCUGCUAAUACCGCAUAAGACCACGACCUCACAUGGGGUUGGGGUAAAAGGCGAAAGCCGGUUUGGGGUGUGCUCGCGUCCGAUUAGCUAGUUGGUGGGGUAACGGCCCACCAAGGCGACGAUCGGUAGCCGACCUGAGAGGGUGAUCGGCCACACUGGAACUGAGAGACGGUCCAGACUCCUACGGGAGGCAGCAGUGGGGAAUAUUGGGCAAUGGGGGAAACCCUGACCCAGCAACGCCGCGUGAGGGAAGAAGGUUUUCGGAUUGUAAACCUCUGUCCUUGGUGAAGAAAAAAAUGACGGUAGCCAAGGAGGAAGCCCCGGCUAACUACGUGCCAGCAGCCGCGGUAAUACGUACGGGGCGAGCGUUGUCCGGAAUGACUGGGCGUAAAGGGCGUGUAGGCGGCCGAUUAAGUCCGGAGUGAAAGUCCUGCUUUCAAGGUGGGAAUUGCUUUGGAAACUGGUUGGCUUGAGUGCGGAAGAGGUAAGUGGAAUUCCCAGUGUAGCGGUGAAAUGCGUAGAGAUUGGGAGGAACACCAGUGGCGAAGGCGACUUACUGGGCCGUAACUGACGCUGAGGCGCGAAAGCGUGGGGAGCGAACAGGAUUAGAUACCCUGGUAGUCCACGCGGUAAACGAUGAAUGCUAGGUGUAG